GGGCCCAUGGUCUAGCGGCUAUGAUGUCGCCUUGACGUGGCGAAUAUCGCAGGUUCGAAUCCUGCUGGGCCCA
Molecule: transfer RNA, 73 nt
Filed under: Candidatus Woesearchaeota archaeon
Lineage: Archaea; Nanobdellati; Candidatus Woesearchaeota
Description: tRNA-Val
Rfam family: tRNA
About the family: Transfer RNA (tRNA) molecules are approximately 80 nucleotides in length. Their secondary structure includes four short double-helical elements and three loops (D, anti-codon, and T loops).
Source: RNAcentral